Molecule: transfer RNA, 70 nt
Filed under: Marmota monax (woodchuck)
Lineage: Eukaryota; Metazoa; Chordata; Mammalia; Rodentia; Sciuridae
Rfam family: tRNA
About the family: Transfer RNA (tRNA) molecules are approximately 80 nucleotides in length.
Source: Rfam by way of RNAcentral
GGGGAUAUAGCUCAGUGGGAGAGUGCUUGCCUAACAUGUGAGGCCCUGGGUUCAAUUCCCAGUAUCACAA